GUAUAAAUAGCUAAGAUUUUCUCCAUGAAUAACUGAUGUGAGACUACAUACACGUCCACACAAAUUUUUCAUACUCCUCCCACUUAAGUCCUGGUAUCCUCGUCAAGCUAAGGGUCCAAAUCCAUACAUCCAUUCACAAACACCAUGAUCGGCCCAUGAUCAGCCUAAUGAGUCUGUGCUAUAGUAUCUUCUAAUCUACAUGAAUUAUAAACUAGAUUCCACUGAUAUCAUUUGUAACAACUCAGAACGUCAUCCAAAAAGAUCGAUC
This 268-nucleotide long non-coding RNA is filed under the name Elaeis guineensis (African oil palm). Its description in RNAcentral is "long non-coding RNA (EGUI_LNC011854)". The record is from RNAcentral. Lineage: Eukaryota; Viridiplantae; Streptophyta; Magnoliopsida; Arecales; Arecaceae.